This 82-nucleotide transfer RNA is filed under the name Paraburkholderia caffeinitolerans. RNAcentral describes it as "tRNA-Arg". The record is from RNAcentral. Lineage: Bacteria; Pseudomonadati; Pseudomonadota; Betaproteobacteria; Burkholderiales; Burkholderiaceae.
CGUGCAGAUGAGCCGCCUGGUCGCGCAGCAGGCGAGCUUUCUGAGCUCGCUCGACGGGUUCUAUUUCCUGAUCGGCGUGGCC